Molecule: ribosomal RNA, 448 nt
Filed under: uncultured bacterium
Lineage: Bacteria
Description: bacterial SSU rRNA
Rfam family: Bacterial small subunit ribosomal RNA
Source: RNAcentral
AUGCUUAACACAUGCAAGUCGGGCGGUAACACUUCGGGUGACGAGCGGCGGACGGGUGCGUAACGCGUGAGAAUCUGCCUUUUAGUGGGGGACAACCCGAGGAAACUCGGGCUAAUACCGCAUAUGUCCUACGGGAUAAAGCAGGGGACCUUCGGGCCUUGCGCUAAAAGAUGAGCUCGCGUGAGAUUAGCUUGUUGGUAGGGUAAAAGCCUACCAAGGCAACGAUCUCUAGCUGGUCUGAGAGGAUGAUCAGCCACACUGGGACUGAGACACGGCCCAGACUCCUACGGGAGGCAGCAGUGGGGAAUAUUGGACAAUGGGGGCAACCCUGAUCCAGCAAUUCCGCGUGUGUGAAGAAGGCCUUCGGGUUGUAAAGCACUUUCAGUAGCCAAGAUGGGAUUUCAUAGUAAUAUUGGAAGUCUUGACAUUAACUACAGAAGAAGCACCG